This 232-nucleotide ribosomal RNA is filed under the name uncultured bacterium. RNAcentral describes it as "partial 16S ribosomal RNA". It matches the Rfam family "Bacterial small subunit ribosomal RNA", at positions 118 to 348 of the family's 1533-position model. The record is from RNAcentral.
UGAGGAACAUGACUUUCGGCGGGGGAUAGCCGGCCCAACGGCCGGGUAAUACCGCGUACGACCACAUGGGGACAUCCCUGGGUGGUGAAAGCAGCAAUGCGCCGAUGGAGUGCCUCGCGGCCUAUCAGCUAGUUGGUGAGGUAACGGCUCACCAAGGCGACGACGGGUAGCUGGUCUGAGAGGAUGGCCAGCCACAUUGGGACUGAGACACGGCCCAGACUCCGUAGGGAGG